RNAcentral lists this long non-coding RNA (209 nucleotides) under Elaeis guineensis (African oil palm). Its description in RNAcentral is "long non-coding RNA (EGUI_LNC065376)". Lineage: Eukaryota; Viridiplantae; Streptophyta; Magnoliopsida; Arecales; Arecaceae. The record is from RNAcentral.
UUAGGAAAAAAAAAAUUUUGUAUUCCUUUCGAUUCAUCGAGUCCAAAUACAAUGUAUGUUUAUAUACAGGGUCAAUAUGACCCAACCCAAAAACUCUCCUGGCUAACUCAAUAUAAGAUUGUGCUCAUCCAAGCCCAUGUACAUCCAUGACUUGACCCAAUCUCAUAAUCUUAGAUUCAAUCCUAGUCCAAAUAUAAUUAACCCCUCAA